AAUAUUGGACAAUGGGCGAAAGCCUGAUCCAGCCACGCCGCGUGAGUGAUGAAGGCCUUCGGGUCGUAAAGCUCUGUGGGGAGGGACGAAAAAGGCAGGGAAGAAUACGCCUUGCCCUUGACGGUACCUCCUUAGCAAGCACCGGCUAACUCUGUGCCAGCAGCCGCGGUAAGACAGAGGGUGCGAACGUUGCUCGGAAUUACUGGGCGUAAAGCGCGUGUAGGCGGAUGGUCAAGUCAGGCGUGAAAGCCCUGGGCUCAACCUAGGGACUGCGUCUGAAACUGGCCAUCUUGAGUGUCGGAGAGGGAAGCGGAAUUCCUGGUGUAGAGGUGAAAUUCGUAGAUAUCAGGAGGAACACCGGUGGCGAAGGCGGCUUCCUGGACGAUUACUGACGCUGAGACGCGAAAGCGUGGGGAGCAAAC
This 422-nucleotide ribosomal RNA is filed under the name uncultured bacterium. RNAcentral describes it as "partial 16S ribosomal RNA". It matches the Rfam family "Bacterial small subunit ribosomal RNA", at positions 360 to 773 of the family's 1533-position model. The record is from RNAcentral.